This 1077-nucleotide long non-coding RNA is filed under the name Calidris pugnax (ruff). Its description in RNAcentral is "lncRNA (ENSCPUG00000005857.1)". The record is from RNAcentral. Lineage: Eukaryota; Metazoa; Chordata; Aves; Charadriiformes; Scolopacidae.
AUGGGGCCAGAGCAGGGCUGGUGGCUGCCAGGGGCGCGGGGGGGUGGCACGUCCCAACAUGCAGCCCCCAGCCCUUGUAUGGAGCUUGGGAGGAAUUUCCUCUGCCUGCCCCUGGAGCGGUGCGGGCAAAGAAAGGGUUGGGAGGAGGAGAUGGCCGUGUGCUUUGCACAGCCCGUGCUCUCUCUUGGUCCCAUUGAUUCUCAUCCCAAUGUGGCCACGUGUGUUGUCUUUUCCAGACAGGUUAGGUCAAGGUUUCCCUCUGCCUCUGCUGGACAGAAUGCAGCUCUCCGAUAUCAUCGUGCAGUUUCACCAGGUGAGUGUGGGGAGCCCCCAGCCCUGCCCAGAGCCCGUCCUGCUCCCCCCCGAGCCCUCUGCCAGGGAGGCUGGCUGCCUGCUGCUGCUGGCACCAUGCUAAGCCCAUCCCCUGACCCGUGCUGGGCAGCUGCAGGCAGGAGGAUGUUGCUCAGCUGGGAUCCCAGCAGCAGAGCUGCAAAACAGAGCUCCGCUUUUGCUGUCCACGUGUGGGGGUCUGGGCUCAGCACCCCCAGGGCAGCACCACAUCAUUCUCCAGUUCUGAAACAUGGGGCCAGAAUUUCCUACAACACUUUUUAUAGCCCGCUCAGCUUUAUGGCAGCAUUACCCGGAGCUCCUGCCUUCCCCAGCCGGCGGGAUGCCGCGUGUGCAUCGGACACAUUUGCCUGUGGUGGGACAGGCAGCUCCUGCCAGCCCCUGUGGAAGGAGCCCUCCCCUUUCUCCUGGGGAGCAGAGAAAGCCCCUCUUGUGGGAGGUCUUGGAGAAGCCCCAGAGGGCUGCCACUACGGGAAUGCUGAACAGUUAUUUCGAGGAAUGGCUGGGAAAUGUCCUCCGAGCCCUUCCAGGGAUAAAAUUAGGCACAGGGGCUGGCAGAACCACAUCUGUCCAUCCAUCCUCCCUCCCCAAAAUGUGGUGGGUACCGGGAGCACAGCAGCCUGCAACAGAAAGUGGCUGCCAGGGCCUUUCACAGCCCCACGCUUUCUUUCUUUCUCCCAGAAUCUACUGCUGCUUGGAGCAAACGUUCAGUAUCAGCCCUGGGUAUAG